ACACCGAGGCCCCGCCUCCCACGUGCGGGCGCUCCUCUCCUAGAGCUCACUGGUCUUUCCAGAAGUCCUCAAGUUUCAUGCGACCAGCAGUGAACUUUACUGGGUAGGGGUGGGAAGCCGGUGGCUCCGGACAGUCGUGAUAACCCGGCACAGAAGCAGAGUCGCAUUUCGGAGCGUCCACUCGUAACGCGGCUUCUCGCACACGGAGCCCGUAGUCCAGGGGAGAGGAGGCCAGGGAGGCCCUGGAGAGGUUGUAGGUUCUUUCAUCAUUUCCUUCCCAGCAUGCACUUGUACAUGCUGUACACUCCACUCUCUUCAUUACCACAACAGGACUACAAAAUCUUUAGAGGAUGAACAGCCAAACAAGGUGACUUACCGCCUGCCAGGAGAGCUUAUUAAAGGAUUUCAUUUCUUGGGCAUCCAGGUUGGGACAUCUUCUGGAUAUAUGCCCAGGAGAGGUGUUGCUGGAUCCUCCAGUAGUACUAUGUCCAAUUUUCUGAAGAACCGCCAGACUGAUUUCCAGAGUGGUUGUACAAGCUUGCAAUCCCACCAACAAUUUAGGAGCGUUCCUCUUUCUCCACACCCUCGCCAGCAUCUACUGUCACCUGAAUUUUUGAUCUUAGCCAUUCUGAAUGGUGUGAGGUGUAAUCUCAGGGUUGUUUUGAUUUGCAUUUCCCUGAUGACUAAGGAUGUUGAACAUUUUUUCAGGUGCUUCUCUGCCAUUCAAUAUUCCUCAGGGAGGAGUCAAAACAAACAAACCAACAAAAACUCAUGUUACCUUGCAAAAGAUGACAAUCUUUUGAAAGUCAAAAUUCCUAAGCCAGUGACCAUUGGAGAAGCCUGGCUGGCAUUUUGUUGAGUAUUGUGUCCUGAGUCUCUAACCUGCCACCCUCUGAACUGAGACCUCAGCUGCAGGAGCUGAAAAGGAAGAAGAAGGAUGACUCGGAAGCAGGGCUGUGGAGAAGCACCUCAGCAGGCAGAGAACAUGUUUUGAUCGCAUGCUGCUCUGUGUCCUGGAGCCUUUGCAAACCAACUCAGCACUACAGAAAAACAAGUCUACCAAUGAAAUGCUUUAAAAGCUGUGAUGGCAAGCUGGGUACAAUGUCUCAUACUUGCACUUGGGAAGCUGACACAGGAGGACUGCUGAAAUUCUGAGACCAACUUGGGCUAUAAGUGAGACUGUCUCAAAAAACAAAAACAAACAAACAAAACCAAAACUAGAAAGAAAAAGAAUAACAUGAUGUCCUGGUGUCAGUGGCUCUUGGAUCACUCUAGUUUUCUCUACUCUGACUGUAUCAACAAACUAAUUCCUUAGAACCACCAUGUGGCGAUGUAACUUGCAGGUGCCUCAGAAAUGACUACUGUCUGGCAUCCUGGUCCAGGUUUUGCUUUCUUUCAUGACUGCACAUGCUUUCCUUCUUAAUGCUUUGGCUUUGCCUACUUACUAGAAGUGUUCAAUGGUACACAGAUGCUUUCUCUGUACUGUCUAUUCUCACUCGGUCUAAUUCCUCAUUUGAUGUCACUGUCCUCUCCAGACACUAAUGCCACAGAGAGUUGAUAUAGGCAGAGUUCAUCUGUGGAAGAUCCUUUCCCUAGCCUGGGUGUUGCCAAGGAUUUUUUAGGAAAAGCCUUUCAAAUGUUAGAGGCCCGGAGUUUUAGCAUGAGAGUCUUGUCAAAUAAUCUCAAUAAAGAGAAUCGUUGUCCC
This 1705-nucleotide long non-coding RNA is filed under the name Mus musculus (house mouse). RNAcentral describes it as "predicted gene, 31138". Lineage: Eukaryota; Metazoa; Chordata; Mammalia; Rodentia; Muridae. The record is from RNAcentral.